GACGAACGCUGGCGGCGUGCUUAACACAUGCAAGUCGAACGGAAAGGCCCUGCUUUUGUGGGGUGCUCGAGUGGCGAACGGGUGAGUAACACGUGAGUAACCUGCCCUUGACUUUGGGAUAACUUCAGGAAACUGGGGCUAAUACCGGAUAGGAGCUCCUGCUGCAUGGUGGGGGUUGGAAAGUUUCGGCGGUUGGGGAUGGACUCGCGGCUUAUCAGCUUGUUGGUGGGGUAGUGGCUUACCAAGGCUUUGACGGGUAGCCGGCCUGAGAGGGUGACCGGCCACAUUGGGACUGAGAUACGGCCCAGACUCCUACGGGAGGCAGCAGUGGGGAAUAUUGCGCAAUGGGCGGAAGCCUGAUGCAGCAACGCCGCGUGCGGGAUGACGGCCUUCGGGUUGUAAACCGCUUUCACCUGUGACGAAGCGUGAGUGACGGUAAUGGGUAAAGAAGCACCGGCUAACUACGUG
This 468-nucleotide ribosomal RNA is filed under the name uncultured bacterium. RNAcentral's name for it is "partial 16S ribosomal RNA". It matches the Rfam family "Bacterial small subunit ribosomal RNA", at positions 28 to 507 of the family's 1533-position model. The record is from RNAcentral.